This 21-nucleotide unclassified non-coding RNA is filed under the name Dictyostelium discoideum. The record is from RNAcentral. Lineage: Eukaryota; Evosea; Eumycetozoa; Dictyosteliales; Dictyosteliaceae.
AAUAAGUCUCUGUAUUGCGGA